Molecule: non-coding RNA, 72 nt
Organism: Pseudomonas syringae pv. spinaceae
Lineage: Bacteria; Pseudomonadati; Pseudomonadota; Gammaproteobacteria; Pseudomonadales; Pseudomonadaceae
Source: Rfam
CUUAAUCGAGCCCAGCAGCAGCGGCCGCUCCGCCGGGCGCUGGCCAUAGGUGGCCAGCAGGGCAUUGGCUUC